RNAcentral lists this long non-coding RNA (626 nucleotides) under Gossypium barbadense (sea-island cotton). Its description in RNAcentral is "long non-coding RNA (GBAR_LNC005049)". Lineage: Eukaryota; Viridiplantae; Streptophyta; Magnoliopsida; Malvales; Malvaceae. The record is from RNAcentral.
CAUUUCAUUCUAAACACACAAACAAACAUCACAUUACAUAUAAAAUUUCAAUAUUUUAUACAUACAGUACUCGUAUAUAUAUUGUAUUAUAGUUCGAUAAUGAUAUAUCAAAGCCACCAAAAAGCAUUUAAUUAAUCAUUCAAGAUCAUGGAAUGUACUAAUUUAAUUUUUUAAGUAUAUAAGCUCUUGACCUGUUUUGAAACAGAACAACAACAAUAAUUAUUGAAUAGAUAAGGUUAAAUUACGUACACAUUUCGUCUAUUUAAGCAGGGUUAAAUUAAUCUCCUGUAUACAUUCAGACAUAUUAAACUCUAGCAUGCCUUUAGAUAUUAAUUUCCAGCACGCAUUCGAAUACUUUUCGAGCUAACAACAAUUAAAUUUUCAGACAAUUUAGCUACCUACAUCCUUUCAUCAAAUACUUGUUUCUUAGUUUCAACUAUUAAUAAUGGGACAUUACUAAAAUUGAAACUUUUGGACAGCAAUAUAAAUAGCAAUUUAAACAGUUUUAAGCUCCCAAAUUUUAAACUCCUCAAGCAUAAACCGAACAGCAAUGCAUGUUAGUUCCAACCAUAUUUAUUUUGUGCAUUUUACCCACAGUACAAGAUACGCAAAAUUUAACAGCAACC